UCUCAAAUCAUAUCUACACCAUAGAUAUCCAUUAAAUCAAGCUUUAAACAUCUUUGAUCCUUGAAUUAAGAGCAACUUUGGAGGGAUUCUAAAGCUUGAAGUCAAGAGGAGGAUUUUAUUUUUCUACUCAAGAAUCAUUGAAUACGAGCAGAGGACGGAAGUGAGUCCACCCCGAGUGCUACGAGAGUAAGCUAAAGCCAUCAGGUGGGCAUUAUUUUUACUAUACGUAUAUAGAGAUCCCCUGCGUAUCGUAGGCCUCUUAUACGAAAUGAAAUAAAUGAUGUGAUUUAACAGUCAAUUUCAGUUUGAUGAAAAUUAUUACUGUUGAUGAUGUUUAUGAGUCUGAUAAAUAUUUUGAGAUUUAUUGAUGUUGAACUAAUUGACUUGCCAAGUUUUGAUGACGACGAGCCUGUAUGUCAUCCUCUACUGAUGAGACGAAUUCGGGUCUUGCCACAAGCGGGAUUGUGUACACAGAGGUGACCGUGAGCUGUCCUUCGGGUCGGCCGGUCACGGUACUUGAGAAGGAGGCCUACUUCUCAGUACCUUAAAUGAUGAUGAUUUGUAGAUGUGGUACAUACAUAACGAGAAUUUUGACCGGUCAUUUAUUUAUGAUGUUUAUGAUUGUUAACUGCUUACACGGGUUCUUUUGAGUAAAAUCCCCAUGUAUUUCUUAUGUGGCAAGUUCAAUCUAUAGCUCUAAGAGCUAGUUUUCAUUGAUUUUUCGGCAUAUGUCCACUGAGUAUUCUGUACUGAGCUCUGCAUGUAUUUCUAAACGUGCAGGAUAAGCGAGGAGGGAGAUUGGACUGGUGCUGGCAGGGGUUUUGUUUCGGAUGAUCGUCAUUAUACCGUAAUUAUUUUCCUUGCGGUAACAUCAAGAUGUUGAGGUUUAUUUUGAACUUAAUCAAUAAAUUUACUCCCGGCUAUAUGUCUUCAUACAUAUAGUCUGUGCGCAUUUUGCUGCGAUACUCUGUAUAUCCCGAGUCAUUGUGAGUAAUUAGCUAUGUCUACUUUGUAAAGGUUGACAAGAAUCUCGAUGAUUUAAAAGUUAUAAAGCCAAUCAUAUUUUUAUUGAUGAUGAUGUCAUCUUUCUUGGUU
Salvia miltiorrhiza (redroot sage) is the source of this 1095-nucleotide long non-coding RNA. RefSeq lists it as uncharacterized. The transcript has 2 exons. The record is from RefSeq and is a predicted model, not a curated record. NCBI's taxonomy places the organism in Eukaryota, Viridiplantae, Streptophyta, Magnoliopsida, Lamiales, Lamiaceae.